AUCCAUCUAUCCAUAUUUCACCAAACAUAUGAGAGAAUGGAUGAAUAAUUCAUCCAUUCUUCCUCGUAUAUUCUUUUUUCCAUUCAUUUUUUAUUCAACCUAUUCUUCGUACUAAAUAGAAAAUGAGUGCCUUACUGUAGUCGCAAAGCCUCAAAUACUGUUCAUGCUAACUUGUGGAUCCAACAUGCCAUAUCCCGUAAGACCCGAAGCUGCAAUAGCUAUAUAUCUGCGCUCUAUAUCCAAGUUUCUCAAGUCAUUGAGAUUUGGGACGGGGGCCACGGAGCCUUGGGAAUUGCCACCAUCCCCAUCCAUGAUCGCACUCGACUUUUGUACUUGGUCUGUUCAGGUACGCUUCUCUCAGGCUUGUUUCCUGCAACACUAACAGGUUUACCUAAUGGAAGAGUGGAUUCAAAACUCUCCAGGAUGAAUUGGAUUCGAAAGCUCACAGUCACUGCUUCUCAGCCAGAUAAUGAGGGUGGUGUUGGGGCUCAGUGCCAACAUCUCCAGGUUGGAUUGAACUCGAGGAGAGUGCCAGAUAUAAUAAUCAACAAUUCUUCAGCAUCAUCUGUUUAGGAUACAAGGCUGCACAGGAUUGGGCAUUUAAGAGUCCAAAAAUGGACAUGGACCACAGAUAUGCGACUUCGUAUUGAUGCCGUUGAUGUUACGAGCCAGAAUCUUCUAAUGGUUUGCAGAGAGCAUGCAAUCUGUUCAAAUAAUGCGCCAUGCAAUCUCCCGCAUGAAACCAAUAGUAAUUUGAACUACUUUAGACCAGUCAACGAUAGGCAACCUACUUCUGGUUGCUCUCGUGUGGCUCGUCUGUGCUGCCAAUCUAUGGAUGAUCACAAGCUCUUCUUAGAAAUAUUUCUUGCUCCAAUUGCUUGUACAAGAGUGCUACAGCCAUUGAGCAAAACUAGUGAAGCAAGUUGCAAGCGGACAUGUUUGAACAAAUACUUUUACAAAACUGCUCUUUUUCAAUA
Molecule: non-coding RNA, 977 nt
Organism: Elaeis guineensis (African oil palm)
Lineage: Eukaryota; Viridiplantae; Streptophyta; Magnoliopsida; Arecales; Arecaceae
Source: RefSeq, a predicted model, not a curated record